RNAcentral lists this non-coding RNA (44 nucleotides) under Schistosoma mattheei. Lineage: Eukaryota; Metazoa; Platyhelminthes; Trematoda; Strigeidida; Schistosomatidae. The record is from RNAcentral.
ACCAGCUGACGAGUCCCAAAUAGGACGAAACACGCGUCCUGGAU